GUUUGGGAAUAUUUUACUUGGUUGUACUGUAAUAUAGACUAAAUAAAGUUGAUGUUUCUCAGUGGUUGAUUUAUUGUGUGGUAAUUACUAUCAGAGACAUUGUACUGCAAGACGUCCAGUUAUUCUUUUGCAAUAGACCUUCUGCAUAAUGAUGUCACAAGGCUUGAUGCCUGUUGAGAAAUGCUGGUCUUAGUACUCAUCGCCCAGAAAAAUUAAACAAUUUAUCCACUAUCGACAUUUUCCUGGGCAAUGACUACUAAGACCAGCAUUCCUUGCAGACAUUUUGUGACAUCAUUAUACAUAAUGUCUGUUAGACUGUUCUUCUAUAAUUCCCAAUUUCUUCUGUAGUUGUUAG
RNAcentral lists this long non-coding RNA (355 nucleotides) under Paramuricea clavata. The record is from RNAcentral. Lineage: Eukaryota; Metazoa; Cnidaria; Anthozoa; Malacalcyonacea; Plexauridae.